Long non-coding RNA from Cyprinus carpio carpio, 988 nucleotides. NCBI's taxonomy places the organism in Eukaryota, Metazoa, Chordata, Actinopteri, Cypriniformes, Cyprinidae. The record is from Ensembl.
AGUAAACAUCAUUUUAUUAACAACUUAGAUUUUUUAUUUUUUUAUUUUUUGCAUAAAAAUGAAAAUGAAGAGAACACACAACAUUAAUCACACAUUAAAAACAAAAAUGUAUUUUCAUUUUUAUUUAUAUAUUUUUAUUUAUUUAUUUUUUAAAAUAUUUUUAAAAUAUGUUUAUACAUUUGUGAGUAUUUUUUUGCUGAGCUUUGUGUAAUGCAUUCUGGGAUUUUUUUUAUUUUUUAUUUGUCAGUGAAUAUUUAAGCUGCUCCACAUUCAUUUUACAGCUCUGUACUUUUACUGUACUCUUACUCAUUUAAGCCAUUUUUAUUUUUUAUGUGAGGACCUUUAGUAAAAAUAUUUGUGAUUUAACUGCAGUGUCACGAGAUGAACUCCUCUUGCUUUUUUAAACCCCUCUUUAAAGUCUGUGUGAAGCCAAGUAUUUCAUCAGUGUCAGGGCAGGGUUAGACAUGAUUCUGGGAGACGUCUUGUUUUGUCCGCCCGUCUGUCCUGGUGUUUCGAUGUCUGCAGUUUGACAUGUCUUUACUGGUCUUGUCAGGGUUUGAGUUUCAUGUUUCUGCUCAUGACAGGAAGGAAGACAUCUGAAGACGCUUCAGCAGAGACACAAUCAACAACACACUGCACGGGCUAUUUUCCCGGCUCUUUCAUUUCUCAGAGAGAAUACGAAAUUCCAGCUAUCAGAAACAGGAGAUCAAACGAGGCCUCGGCUGAAUUCACUGUCAGAAUAAAACCAUUUGUUCCUGAGGCUUUUACUCCGAAGACCUCGUCCCUGGACCGUUUGCUUCUUCAAGUGUGUGUUUUAUGUGGUUUAGGCAGGCGCUCCUCUGGGUCAGUCUGCCACUGUUCAUUUGAGAAAACAUGGCGGUUUACUCCAGAACCUACUCAGUAUGCACAUGAUGUGUGUUCAGUUCUCUUAAAGCAGCCCACUCUCAAACAAAAAAGAAAAAAAAAGAAAAAAAAAAACUAUUUCUAA